CGGUAAUGACGAAGCUUCCCUCAGUGAUGAGGAAGAAGGGAAACGCUUCCGAUGGGCCUGCUCUGCCGCUGUGCACGUUGCAUCCUUGCUGGCCCCCAUCCAAGAUGGCAUACACCACUGGGACCUGUGCUGACCAGCCUUGGAUGUUAUACCACGGAUUGAACCAGGAGUGACCGGAAACCACCGGAGAUCCAGCCUGAGUGGCUGUGAAGGUCUCUGCUUGACCGGCGAGCAGAUCUCUGCGUUUCUUUGCACCGCUGCUGACAUCAAAACCCUCUGGGCUGAGACUGUAGGAGCUGGAUCCCGACUCCUGGCUUGUGUUGAAGAAUGCAUGUUUCAAAGGGAUGGAACGUAGUGCCGGAUCUAGGGAGAGAUGCUUCCUCUGCGAAACAAAAUAAAUAGAACAAGACAGUAGCUGGAAAUAAGACAGCCUAAUGUCCCCCCGGUCACCAGACUGAGUGGGGAGUAAGGAUAAUUCUUGUGAAGCAAACUGUUCUUCCAUGUCUGUACAGGUCAGACCUUAAUUCAGGUCAUCAGUGUGCAGUUAUUUACAUUUAAGAGGGCACUGUCAGGGCAAAAACAAAGAGAAGGAAGAAAAAUCCCAUCUGUGCCAUUCAAAACACCUCCGUUCAUUUGGGCCCUGGUCCAGAAAAGCACUUAAGCGUGCAUGAACACCUUGCUGGGAGGCAGCGUGUGACAUCCUUGCCUGGGGGGAGGCAGCAGGGGUUUUAUGUCGACUUCAGUGGAGCCAGGCAUCACAGCCAGGAGCCAAAAAGCACCUUGCUCUUCACCCCAGCCUUUGCAUCAUCCUCAUGAGAUGCUCUUCAAGGUACCCCCUUCUAAUGAUUUCUGAUGUGCCGCUGCUGAGCCCAGGCUUGGAAGGUCCUUUUUUUUUUUUUUUUUUUUUUUCCCUUAAUCAAGUGACCCUGCCUGCAAGAAGCGUAAAGCUCCCUGGAAAUGAGGACUUAUUCCUUCCUAACGGGAUGACUGGAGGCCAGCAAGAUGUCACCUUGAGGCAGGAUAGCUUUUCUCAGACAAACAGCUUCUGCAAUGAGCGUACGGAGACAGAGGGAGUUCUGCCAAGAAGGUUGGAUCUGGUCCCCAUGGGGCUUUACAGAAACAGCUCUGCAGCUGGAGCCCACUGUGGGCAGAGGAUGACACACUGAUGUGAUGCCUUCAUCAGGGUUUGGCUGGCCACCUGGGGGAAGAACCAGCUAUUAUCUGGAGGUGGCUGUGAGAUUCGGGCUGCUGCUGCUGGCAGGCCUUCGGGGAAGCAACCGGAGUACUGAUCUGGUGUAGCCAGGUCUGUGUGUGUGAGGUAAGCUUAUAAUCUCCUCCUUAACGUGAGAUGGGAAGUAGUUUUCCAGGCUGCUGCCACUCUGUGAGUUUUCAGCUAUCUCGGGCUCAUCCUGCUUUAUCUGUUGCAUGUAAAAUAUCCCAUGUAAAGCUAAGCAAAGCUGCAAAGCUACUGUAAUCCUUCCUAAAGCCGCACUGCCCCUCGGUGCGAAUAUUGCAUUAGAUGAUAUGCUUAUUAAACGUGUCCAACAGAAGUUUUACUUCCAGCGAGAGCUGAUAGUCUUGAAAUGCUGUUAAGGUAAUAAUUACAGUACAUUGUCCUCGAUCCGGAUUUCAGAUGGUAAUUGUUCACACCUGCUUCUAUGCCAUUUAAGUGACAGCAGAUGCAAGUGAAGGGCUGUAGCAUUUUUUGUUGGGGCUGGGUAAUGUGUUGGGCCUGGGAGACCCGUGUUGGCUCCUUGGGGAUGUUUAGUCACCUCUGUUUGCCUUUAUGCCAGUGCUGUUCCCAGGCUACCCCACAGCUCUCUCCUCUGUUUUAGACCAUCCUUCUGGAGAACUGGAAGAAGGUGCAGGGCUGCCUGGAGUGCACCCAGCACCCACUUUUUCCUGGUCAUCCUUCCUGCAUGUGAAUCAGUGCCUCUGUCUGGGGCCGGAUGAAGGCGGGGAUGAAGGCUCCUGUCCCUCCCUUGCAUGUCAGGGUUGUCCCCACACCUUCCUCUCCAGCUUACCUGUUUGUAAAUGGUGAUGGUGCCAUUUAACUGCUUCAUAAAGUGCCUUGGGUUCUGCUGGCAAACUGAGCGAUGGAAACUUCACAGUCAGAGGAAGAGAAAGGGAAGGGAAAUCUUUGAAUUGGGACCACCAUGGCUCAUUUUUCAUAUUUAUGACACUAUUAGUCCCAGGUUGCUCUCUAUUUGCCUGGUCUACAAAGAGCAGGUCAUUAGCCAAACCCUGUCCUGGACGUAAGGGACAGACUCAUGGACUUCAGUUUGUCCCUGUGAAGGCCCUGGCCCCUCCACUCAUAAACACCUGGGUUUUCAGUGAGAUUUUCAGAGUCUUCAGGCCAGCGUGCAGCCCUUUUGGAGGGAGGCUGGCUGGCUGGCUGUGUGUGGGCUUCACCAUUGCUCUUUGGGGCAUCUGCGUCCGUUUCUCCCUGUGACCUCAGGGACCCAUCUCAGUGUAGUACAUCAGGACCUCGUCUCUUCCCCUCGAGUUUGACAGGAGAGGAAAUGCUGUAUUUGUACAUCCUGAGUGUAUAGAGUGGGGUGGGACAUGAGCUGCACAGUGACAUUUGCUAAAUUGUGGUACUUCUGUUCGCCAUCCUCCUGCUAUUUCUCUGCAGGAAUCCCUUCUCCUCCUCCUGAACAAAGGAGUCCCCCAAAUGCUGCUUUUCUUGGGGGGUAGCAUGCUUAUUUCUCUAGCAUCAUUUCUGUAGCAUCCAGCAUCACAGGGCGAGACAGGAUUUUUGCAUAUAGUCAGAGUGAGCCUGGGCCUUCCUUUUCAUCUCCUUCAUGGCUUGCCAAUGCAGCCACUGACCUGGGACAUGUGGGAUGGAGGCAACUGAGUGCCUUAGCAGCAUGAUGGUGAUGGGCAAUAUCCUUGGAAUAAACGACAUCAUCUCUGGGCA
Molecule: long non-coding RNA, 2920 nt
Organism: Struthio camelus australis
Lineage: Eukaryota; Metazoa; Chordata; Aves; Struthioniformes; Struthionidae
Source: Ensembl